AUGAGCGUCGCCCUCCUGUGCUGGGGGGUCUGGGGUCUCCUGCAGGCAGGUGUGGUGAAGGCUGGGGUCUCUCAGAGCCCGAGAUACCAGAUCCUGAGGACAAAACAGCGUGGGCAGCUGAGCUGUGCCCAGGAUAUGGACUAUAACUACAUGUACUGGUAUCGCCAGGACCCGGAACUCGGGCUAAGGCUUCUCCAUUACUCAGCGAAUACUAAUCUCAGCGCUGAAGGAGACAUCCCUGGUGGGUACAAGGUCUCUAGACCAGACAAAGCCAAGUUCCUGCUCACGCUGGAGUCUGCCACCACCUCCCAGACAGCUGUGUACUUCUGUGCCACCAGCUAUGCACAGCGCUGCAGGCUCACCUCCUCUCUGCACAAGAAGGCGGGGCUCUCACCCCGGGGCUCAUCAGAGCACUUGUACACUGUCAGCACAGUGAGUUCUGAAGCCCUGGGGUCCCCGCCGAAGCUGUGA
This is a non-coding RNA of Talpa occidentalis (Iberian mole), 471 nucleotides long. The record is from the annotation of a RefSeq genome assembly. NCBI's taxonomy places the organism in Eukaryota, Metazoa, Chordata, Mammalia, Eulipotyphla, Talpidae.